AGUGAACGCUGGCGGUAGGCCUAACACAUGCAAGUCGAACGGCAGCACAGUAAGAGCUUGCUCUUACGGGUGGCGAGUGGCGGACGAGUGAGGAAUACAUCGGAAUCUACUUUUUCGUGGGGGAUAACGUAGGGAAACUUACGCUAAUACCGCAUACGACCUACGGGUGAAAGCAGGGGAUCUUCGGACCUUGCGCGAUUGAAUGAGCCGAUGUCGGAUUAGCUAGUUGGCGGGGUAAAGGCCCACCAAGGCGACGAUCCGUAGCUGGUCUGAGAGGAUGAUCGGCCACACUGGAACUGAGACACGGUCCAGACUCCUACGGGAGGCAGCGGUGGGAAAUAUUGGACAAGGGGCGCAAGCCUGAUCCGGCCAUACCGCGUGGGUGAAGAAGGCCUUCGGGUGGUAAAGCCCUUUUGUUGGGAAAGAAAAGCGGCAGGUUAAUACCCCGCUGUUCUGAGGGUACCCAAAGAAUAAACACCGGCUAACUUCGU
This 491-nucleotide ribosomal RNA is filed under the name uncultured bacterium. RNAcentral describes it as "partial 16S ribosomal RNA". It matches the Rfam family "Bacterial small subunit ribosomal RNA", at positions 29 to 506 of the family's 1533-position model. The record is from RNAcentral.